GAUGAACGCUGGCGGCGUGCCUAAUACAUGCAAGUCGAGCGAACAGACGAGGAGCUUGCUCCUCUGACGUUAGCGGCGGACGGGUGAGUAACACGUGGAUAACCUACCUAUAGGACUGGGAUAACUUCGGGAAACCGGAGCUAAUACCGGAUAAUAUAUUGAACCGCAUGGUUCAAUAGUGAAAGACGGUUUUGCUGUCACUUAUAGAUGGAUCCGCGCCGCAUUAGCUAGUUGGUAAGGUAACGGCUUACUAAGGCAACGAUGCGUAGCCGACCUGAGAGGGUGAUCGGCCACACUGGAACUGGGACACGGUCCAGACUCCUACGGGAGACAGCAGUAGGGAAUCUUCCACAAUGGGCGAAAGCCUGACGGAGCAACGCCGCGUGAGUGAUGAAGGUCUUCGGAUCGUAAAACUCUGUUAUUAGGGAAGAACAAAUGUGUAAGUAACUAUGCACGUCUUGACGGUACCUAAUCAGAAAGCCACGGCUAACUACGUG
This 497-nucleotide ribosomal RNA is filed under the name uncultured bacterium. RNAcentral describes it as "partial 16S ribosomal RNA". It matches the Rfam family "Bacterial small subunit ribosomal RNA", at positions 28 to 507 of the family's 1533-position model. The record is from RNAcentral.